Molecule: non-coding RNA, 201 nt
Filed under: Morganella morganii
Lineage: Bacteria; Pseudomonadati; Pseudomonadota; Gammaproteobacteria; Enterobacterales; Morganellaceae
Description: GcvB RNA
Rfam family: GcvB RNA
About the family: The gcvB gene encodes a small untranslated RNA involved in expression of the dipeptide and oligopeptide transport systems in Escherichia coli.
Source: RNAcentral
CUUCCUGAGCCGGAACGAAAAGUUGAACGGUAGCAAUACUGCAAAACUUUUGGCUAUGUGGUUGUGAUGUUGUGUUUGCAAGUUGUCCGGGAGUUCCGGACAUAGUAGCUUAAGCUACUGUUUUUUUUCACUUCCUGUACAUUUACCCUGUCUGUCCAUAGUGAUUUUUUGAAUGCACCGCCGAUUGCGGUGCUUUUUUUU